GUGCCAGCAGUCGCGGUAAUACCGGCAGCCCGAGUGAUGGCCGAUCUUAUUGGGCCUAAAGCGUCCGUAGCUGGGUCUGAAAGUCCAUCGGGAAAUCCACUCGCUCAACGAGUGGUCGUCCGGUGGAAACUCCACACCUUGGGACCGGAAGGCUCGAAGGGUACGGUCGGGGUAGGAGUGAAAUCCUGUAAUCCCGUCCGGACCACCGAUGGCGAAAGCACUUCGAGAACACGGAUCCGACAGUGAGGGACGAAAGCUAAGAUCUCGAACCGGAUUAGAAACCCCAGUAGUCC
This 293-nucleotide ribosomal RNA is filed under the name uncultured bacterium. RNAcentral's name for it is "partial 16S ribosomal RNA". It matches the Rfam family "Archaeal small subunit ribosomal RNA", at positions 455 to 747 of the family's 1478-position model. The record is from RNAcentral.